CAGAGAGUGAAAACUCCCUAUAACCAACUGUUUAUCUACCUGUUUGUUGCUUCGGCAGGCGGUCGUCCCGGGGGGGACUGUACCUGGCAAAGGCGCCUGCCGAGGGCACCCAGAACUCCUGCUGUCAGUUGUCAUCUGAGCUGUAAACAGAAUGAAUCA
Molecule: unclassified non-coding RNA, 159 nt
Filed under: uncultured fungus
Lineage: Eukaryota; Fungi
Description: sequence contains ITS1
Source: RNAcentral